Long non-coding RNA from Oryctolagus cuniculus (rabbit), 186 nucleotides. It matches the Rfam family "Maternal intergenic circadian oscillating RNA 1". From Rfam's summary of the family: Maternal intergenic circadian oscillating 1 (Mico1) and Mico1 opposite strand (Mico1os) are lon non-coding RNAs. Their expression shows circadian oscillations. Lineage: Eukaryota; Metazoa; Chordata; Mammalia; Lagomorpha; Leporidae. The record is from Rfam.
GGGGCGCACACAGUUUUGCUUGGAUCUGGGGGCGGCCACGUGGCCGUGGGCUCAGCGCUGUGCCCUGAGCCAGCCAGAAAGCGUCCUGCAGCUGAAAGCGGGGCUUGAAGGCGCUGCUCCAGGAGGCACUCAGCGUAAACAGUGAGAAUUCUGGGAAGUGCACAUAGACCCGUCUGUCGGAAAGGG